UGGGGCUGGUCUGACUUCUGAACUUGGAUUUGGCUUGAUACUUGGUAGUUGUAAAUCUAAUUAGUUGUGUAUCAGAUUGUUUGUGUAGUUUGUUUGGAACUUGAUCUGUGCAGAGUGGUGACUAGGUCAGUGGUCUUCAGGGAUGGUGUCCGAGUUUGGGAGACGCCUCGAGCUCGACAAGCCAUUGAAGAAGUGAGGCUUAGUGCGUCCCCCACAGCACCGCGAUCAGUUUAGACAUCCUGAAGACGAUCGAGGAGAACUUGGAGAUGGAGGAAUGGGUGAAACCUGCCGACGGCUCGCGCCCACUCGAAACAAAACAUACACGAGGGACACUAUAGAAGCUUAGUCUAAUACUAAAGCUGCCGUUUUGUUUUGAC
This is a non-coding RNA of Labrus bergylta (ballan wrasse), 377 nucleotides long. Lineage: Eukaryota; Metazoa; Chordata; Actinopteri; Labriformes; Labridae. The record is from RefSeq and is a predicted model, not a curated record.